Long non-coding RNA from Lycium barbarum (goji berry), 864 nucleotides. RefSeq lists it as uncharacterized. The record is from RefSeq and is a predicted model, not a curated record. The transcript has 3 exons. Lineage: Eukaryota; Viridiplantae; Streptophyta; Magnoliopsida; Solanales; Solanaceae.
CAAAAAAAAAAGGGGCAAAGGCCCAAAAGUUAUAGGGGUGGCCGGCCAACUCAAUUGGCCCAAGCCCAUAUGGAAAUUAGUCUAAGUAAAUAAAAAAGGGAAGGGCCAAGAAACUUCUACACAAUUGACCAUUCAAGAAAUUAAUUGAGAGAGAAAAAAAAAAGGGGGGGCCAUUCGGCCGUGAGAAAGAGAAAAGAAAAAAAAUAAAAAAAAAUUGGAGCUUAAAUCUUUAGCCCAAAAAUUCACCCCUUGUUGAAUUAAUGCUAAGCUCAAGGUCCUCUUCCAUGUGAUACCAAUUUGAAAGCAAAAGAGUACUUUUUUUUACAAAGUGAAGAAUUUGAAAAAGAUAUUGGAGAGCCCGAGACUUGAGUCGGGAUUUGUUUGGCAAGUGAUCGAGAUUUGGUAGUGAGCGAUCGAGGUACGGACGUUCGUUUUGGUGAUCCUCCAGUAUAGGAUACAUAUUCUGCCACUUGGAUUACUCCUUUUGAUUCGGAGCUCAUAUUUUGGUACAUAUCUUCUGUUACACCCAUUCUGUAUAUAUGUGUAUGACUAUUUGGGUACGGCGGGGCCCUUUCCCGUCAUAUGUUUUGUUAUGUUUUGUAGAGGCCUGUAGUCAUAUAUGUGGGUCAUGGGUCACGUUGUUCGUUUGUGAUUAUGAUUUGCGUCCUAAGGCCCCGUUUACUAUUAUGGCCAAAACGGCCCAAUCUGUUGGUAUGUGUGUGAAUAUCUGGGCAAUGUCUAUUCCGCCAGCUUACUGGAUUUGGUAUGAUGUUUUCGUACGGGCGACCGCUUACGACGAUAUUUGUUUUCAGUAUUUGCUUAAAAUGACGUAUGUUAAGUUUGACUAAGUCUUUGAUAUGUUGA